Suricata suricatta (meerkat) is the source of this 196-nucleotide long non-coding RNA. RefSeq lists it as uncharacterized. Lineage: Eukaryota; Metazoa; Chordata; Mammalia; Carnivora; Herpestidae. The record is from RefSeq and is a predicted model, not a curated record. The transcript has 3 exons.
GUCACCAGUCUGCCUGGGUUCAAGUUCCAGCUUUCCACUUACCACUUAUGUGAUAUUAGGACCAAUUCUGACAUUCCAGCCAUGGCUUGGACACCCCCAGCAACAGAGAAUCCCCACCUUUAAUGAUUCAGAGAGUACCUGCACUGACCAGACUAGACCACUCUUUAAAAAUGUGUUGAAUAAAAUAGAUUUAUCA